Molecule: ribosomal RNA, 761 nt
Filed under: uncultured Prevotella sp.
Lineage: Bacteria; Pseudomonadati; Bacteroidota; Bacteroidia; Bacteroidales; Prevotellaceae
Description: bacterial SSU rRNA
Rfam family: Bacterial small subunit ribosomal RNA
Source: RNAcentral
GAUGAACGCUGGCUACAGGCUUAACACAUGCAAGUCGAGGGGAAACGGCAUUGAGUGCUUGCACUGAAUGGACGUCGACCGGCGCACGGGUGAGUAACGCGUAUCCAACCUUCCCGUUACUGCGGGAUAACCUGCCGAAAGGCAGACUAAUACCGCAUGUUCUUCGAUGACGGCAUCAGAUUCGAAGCAAAGACUCGUCGGUAACGGAGGGGGAUGCGUCUGAUUAGCUUGUUGGCGGGGCGACGGCCCACCAAGGCGACGAUCAGUAGGGGUUCUGAGAGGAAGGUCCCCCACAUUGGAACUGAGACACGGUCCAAACUCCUACGGGAGGCAGCAGUGAGGAAUAUUGGUCAAUGGGCGGAAGCCUGAACCAGCCAAGUAGCGUGCAGGAGGACGGCCCUACGGGUUGUAAACUGCUUUUAUGCGGGGAUAAAGUGAGGGACGCGUCCCUUUUUGCAGGUACCGCAUGAAUAAGGACCGGCUAAUUCCGUGCCAGCAGCCGCGGUAAUACGGAAGGUCCGGGCGUUAUCCGGAUUUAUUGGGUUUAAAGGGAGCGUAGGCCGGGGAUUAAGUGUGUUGUGAAAUGUAGGCGCCCAACGUCUGACUUGCAGCGCAUACUGGUUCCCUUGAGUACGCGCAACGCCGGCGGAAUUCGUCGUGUAGCGGUGAAAUGCUUAGAUAUGACGAAGAACCCCGAUUGCGAAGGCAGCCGGCGGGAGCGCAACUGACGCUGAAGCUCGAAGGUGCGGGUAUCGAACAGG